RNAcentral lists this ribosomal RNA (219 nucleotides) under uncultured bacterium. RNAcentral describes it as "partial 16S ribosomal RNA". It matches the Rfam family "Bacterial small subunit ribosomal RNA", at positions 129 to 334 of the family's 1533-position model. The record is from RNAcentral.
CCUCAAAGAGGGGAAUAGCCUCCCGAAAGGGAGAUUAAUACCGCAUAAUAUGUUUUGGUCGCAUGACUGAGACAUCAAAGGAUACUUCUUCGGAAGCAUCCGCUUUGAGAUGGACCCGCGGCGCAUUAGCUAGUUGGUGAGGUAACGGCUCACCAAGGCGACGAUGCGUAGCCGACCUGAGAGGGUGAUCGGCCACAUUGGAACUGAGACACGGUCCAG